GAUGAACGCUGGCGGCGUGCCUAAUACAUGCAAGUCGAGCGAACGGACGAGAAGCUUGCUUCUCUGAUGUUAGCGGCGGACGGGUGAGUAACACGUGGAUAACCUACCUAUAAGACUGGGAUAACUUCGGGAAACCGGAGCUAAUACCGGAUGAUAUUUUGAACCGCAUGGUUCAAAAGUGAAAGACGGUCUUGCUGUCACUUAUAGAUUGAUCCGCGCUGCAUUAGCUAGUUGGUAAGGUAACGGCUUACCAAGGCAACGAUGCAUAGCCGACCUGAGAGGGUGAUCGGCCACACUGGAACUGGGACACGGUCCAGACUCCUACGGGAGGCAGCAGUAGGGAAUCUUCCGCAAUGGGCGAAAGCCUGACGGAGCAACGCCGCGUGAGUGAUGAAGGUCUUCGGAUCGUAAAACUCUGUUAUUAGGGAAGAACAUAUGUGUAAGUAACUGUGCACAUCUUGACGGUACCUAAUCAGAAAGCCACGGCUAACUACGUG
This 497-nucleotide ribosomal RNA is filed under the name uncultured bacterium. Its description in RNAcentral is "partial 16S ribosomal RNA". It matches the Rfam family "Bacterial small subunit ribosomal RNA", at positions 28 to 507 of the family's 1533-position model. The record is from RNAcentral.